ACCGGGGCAGGUGGUUCCUCUGCCAGGGACACAAUUACAGUGAGAGGCGGGAAACAACCAAAGAGGAAAAGAUUUUUGAGGCUUCAGAAAGCAAAUGGAGUCAAAUACACCCGUUCAGUAAACAUGAAAAAAAUUAUGACAAGCAACCAAAAGGAACGUGUGGCCCCAGCAAACUGAUGGAGACAUUAGAGAAGGGAGACAAAAGAUGGAAGAGAUGUAGGUUCCUGGAAUUUCAGGUUUGCUUAGAAAGAGCUGAAGAGAAAGUUGACUGGUACAUGUUUUUUAGAGAUAGUCUGGAUUUCACAAGCAAGCACCGCUGGAGAAAUGAGAAAGGACUGAAAUAUCAAUUUCAGUGACAUCAAGACCUUCUCAGUGCUCCAAGUCUGAGGUUAUUUUCACACUGCUCUUUGGGUGUACAUCAGCAGGCUAGACUUUGGGUCUCCUGAUUGCCACAGUUGGCUAGCUCAUCUCUGGAGUGGGUCAAAAAGGCCCUUUUUGAAGAGAUGGGAGCCAGAAUGGGAGGUUGGAGUGGAUUUGGAGUGAGAAACUGGAUCAGCUCCUUAGUCCCCAUUAUAUUUUCUGCAAUUUGGACAACGGAAUUAGCUGUGUCCUCAGUUUCUUCAUUUUUAAAAUGGGGCUAACACCUGCCUUAUUUACUUGAUAGGCCUGUUGUUAGGAAUAAAAGAAACUGCUUAUCGUC
Long non-coding RNA from Hyaena hyaena (striped hyena), 700 nucleotides. RefSeq lists it as uncharacterized. Lineage: Eukaryota; Metazoa; Chordata; Mammalia; Carnivora; Hyaenidae. The record is from RefSeq and is a predicted model, not a curated record. The transcript is spliced from 6 exons.